UUCGCCCUUAGAGUUUGAUCCUGGCUCAGAGCGAACGCUGGCGGCAGGCUUAACACAUGCAAGUCGAGCGGGCGUAGCAAUACGUCAGCGGCAGACGGGUGAGUAACGCGUGGGAACGUACCUUUUGGUUCGGAACAACACAGGGAAACUUGUGCUAAUACCGGAUAAGCCCUUACGGGGAAAGAUUUAUCGCCGAAAGAUCGGCCCGCGUCUGAUUAGCUAGUUGGUAGGGUAAUGGCCUACCAAGGCGACGAUCAGUAGCUGGUCUGAGAGGAUGAUCAGCCACAUUGGGACUGAGACACGGCC
Molecule: ribosomal RNA, 306 nt
Filed under: uncultured Bradyrhizobium sp.
Lineage: Bacteria; Pseudomonadati; Pseudomonadota; Alphaproteobacteria; Hyphomicrobiales; Nitrobacteraceae
Description: partial 16S ribosomal RNA
Rfam family: Bacterial small subunit ribosomal RNA
Source: RNAcentral